AAUUUUCAUUUUUGGGUGAAGUACUGUAUCCCUUUAAGUGUGAAUGUUUGUUUAAUCUUAAUUAUGAUUAUUUACAUGACAAGACUGAAUAUUUAGCUGAAACCAAUGAUUUCUUGAUCAAGUUUACUUUGGUAUAUUACUGUAUAGCUUUUAAUCAUUCAAUGUGUUUUCUGUUGAAUUUGUGGUUUUCCAGAUGUGUCUCUCUACUGUCAUGUUGCCAUUAAUGUGGAACCCACAACCUGUACAAAGAGUCAAAAGCCUACAUAAUUUUAAUGAACGGAUAAUCCUUGAUCUCCAUUUAUGCCUAACCACAAGGAACAUACUACAGUGCUGUGUGCACCCAUGUUAUGCAUUUGUGCCUUCUCCUGCUCUGCACUUUUAAAGCCCACUGUACGUAGGCCAUCAUACACUGGUUUGGCUGUGCUGCAGAAUUUGUCUA
This is a long non-coding RNA of Triplophysa rosa, 439 nucleotides long. RefSeq lists it as uncharacterized. The record is from RefSeq and is a predicted model, not a curated record. NCBI's taxonomy places the organism in Eukaryota, Metazoa, Chordata, Actinopteri, Cypriniformes, Nemacheilidae. The transcript has 3 exons.